CGCGGCCUAUCAGCUUGUUGGCGGGGUAACGGCCCACCAAGGCAACGACGGGUAGCUGGUUUGAGAGAACGAUCAGCCACACUGGAACUGAGACACGGUCCAGACUUCUACGGAAGGCAGCAGUAGGGAAUCUUGCGCAAUAGGCGAAAGCCUGACGCAGCGACGCCGCGUGCGGGAUGACGGCCCUAGUGGUUGUAAACCGCUUUCAGCAGGGACGAAAAUGACGGUACCUGCAGAAGAAGUCCCGGCUAACUACGUGCCAGCAGCCGCGGUAAUACGUAGGGGACAAGCGUUGUCCGGAUUCAUUGGGCGUAAAGAGCUCGUAGGCGGUUCAGUAAGUUGGGUGUGAAAGCUCCGGGCUCAACCCGGAGAGGCCACUCAAUACUGCUGUGACUAGAGCCCAGUAGAGGAGCGUGGAACUCCUGGUGUAGCGGUGAAAUGCGCAGAUAUCAGGAAGAACACCGGCAGCGAAGGCGGCGCUCUGGGCUGGUACUGACGCUGAGGAGCGAAAGCAUGGGUAGCAAACAGGAUUAGAUACCCUGGUAGUCCAUGCCGUAAACGUUGGGCACUAGGUGUGGGGAGGAAUCAACCCUCUCCGUGCCGUAGCUAACGCAUUAAGUGCCCCGCCUGGGGAGUACGG
This 640-nucleotide ribosomal RNA is filed under the name uncultured bacterium. Its description in RNAcentral is "bacterial SSU rRNA". It matches the Rfam family "Bacterial small subunit ribosomal RNA", at positions 232 to 885 of the family's 1533-position model. The record is from RNAcentral.